GGAUUGUAGCUCAGCGGUAGAGCGCUCGCCUAGCACGGCAGGAUCCGGGUUCAAUCCUCAGCACCA
Molecule: transfer RNA, 66 nt
Filed under: Marmota monax (woodchuck)
Lineage: Eukaryota; Metazoa; Chordata; Mammalia; Rodentia; Sciuridae
Description: tRNA.Ala
Source: RNAcentral